AUAUCAAUAAGCGGAGGAGAAGAAAUUAACUAAGAUUGCCCUAGUAGCGGCGAGCGAAGCGGCAAGAGCCCAAACUGGAAAUCUUGUACACUACGUGUGCACGAAUUGUAAUCUAAAGGAUGUUCACUCAACGGGAGGUGGCGCAGAAGUGUCCUCGAACGGACCGCCAGAGAGGGUGCCCAGCCCCGUAUGUGGUGCCACUGCCUAACGAGCGGGUCCCGAAGAGUCGGGUUGUUUUGUAUUGCAGCCCUAAGUGGGAGAUAAACUUCUUCUAAGGCUAAAUACCUAUGGGAGACCGAUAGCGCACAAGUA
Molecule: ribosomal RNA, 312 nt
Filed under: uncultured eukaryote
Lineage: Eukaryota
Description: partial large subunit ribosomal RNA
Rfam family: Eukaryotic large subunit ribosomal RNA
Source: RNAcentral